Long non-coding RNA from Ruditapes philippinarum (Manila clam), 6187 nucleotides. RefSeq lists it as uncharacterized. Lineage: Eukaryota; Metazoa; Mollusca; Bivalvia; Venerida; Veneridae. The record is from RefSeq and is a predicted model, not a curated record. The transcript has 4 exons.
ACUGCGUUGACCCCGUUGUGUGAUUACCUCUGUGUAUUCGGUCACCAAAAAAAGAUUAUGUGUCGGAGAAAACAAACUUCAAAAGGGAUAUUUGUGAUGUGGAAGGGGAAAUGAACGAACACGGAUACAUUUUGUAGCUUUUGGUUCCAAGCCUGUAAACUGAGCCAAGCAAAAUAGAUAUGUGAUGGAGGAGACUGGUGAUUACAAACUAAUCAAAAGAAGAAUAUGUCAUAUCUUGGAUAAAAGUGGUUACCUUCAACAACUAGAUAUAUUGGUUACAGUUAAAUUAAAUAUUGUUGUUAAGAAGAUUUUCCCUAUUCAUCAUAGAGGAACAGAAACAUGUUUGGGUGGAACAUGUGCUUAAACUUUGCAUAAGUUUUGUUGAAACUUCCAUUUGAUACUGAAGAUGGUUGUUGAAUAUUGUUUGUUAACUAUAUCUAUAUGGCUUUAAAGAGAGAUGUUGACAGGUGCAAUUUUAGUGCAAAAAGUGCAUGUGUUACAUGUUGAAUGAACAAACAAUAGUAUGCAGUAAAACACCAAGAAUCAUUAUGUUUUCAUAACAUUUUAACAACUAAAUAAAUGGGUCGGAAUGUCCAUCUAUCCAUCCAUCAAAAGCAGAUAUCUACAUGUUUGUGAAACUUAAUACAUUAAAGAUGGAUAUAUCUCAUUGGGGAGAAAUGAUGUGUUGAAUUUGUAUGCCCCCCCUUUGAAGGAGGGGGGGGGUAUAUUGUUUUGCUAAUGUCAGUCCGUCGGUAGACCACAUGGUUUCCACUUAUUAUCUUGAAAAAUAUUUAUCAUAUAGUCUUAAUAUUUCACAUAAUGAUUGGUCAUAACUAGUAGAUGACCCAUAUUGAUUUUGGGUUCACUAGGUCAAAGGUCAAGGUCACAGGAGCCUUAAAUGUCAGAAUAGUUUCCGCUGAUUUUCUUGAAAAUAAUUCAUCAUAAAGUCUUCAUAUUUCACAUAUUAAUUGGUCAUAUCAAGUAGAUGACCCCUAUCGUUUUUGGGGUCACUAGGUCAAGGUCACAGGGGCCUUAAAUGUCAAAAUGGUGUCGCUGAUUAUCUUGUAAAGUAUUCAUCACAAAGUCGUCAUACUUCACAUAGUGAUUGGUCGUUAUAGUAGAUGACUUCUAUUGAUUUUGAAGUCACUAGGUCAAAGUCAAGGUCACAGAGGCCUUAAAUGUCAGAAGGGUUUCUGCUGAUUAUCUUGAAAAGAAUUCAUCACAUAGUCUUCAUAUUUCACAUAUUGAUUGGUUAUAACUAGUAGAUGACCCCUAUUGAUUUUUGGGUCAUAACGUCAAAGGUCAAGGUCACAGGGGCCUCAAAUGUCAGAAUGGCUUCUGCUCAUUAUCUUUGUUAUAAUUCAUCACAAAGUCUUCAUAUGUCACAUAUUAAUUGGUCGUAACUAGUAGAUGACCCCUAUUGAUUUUUGGGUCACUAAGUAAAAUGUCAAGGUCACAGGGGCCUUGAAUGGUUAUAUGAUUUCCACUUAUUAUUAUGGUUACUACUUAUUACAAAGUCUUCAUAUUUCACAUAUUGAGUCUCUGAUUUUCACGCUCUUGUUAAUCUUCGGCGAUAUCUGUGCCUUGUUGCUUACAUUGCUGACAUUAAUUUUCAUCGGAGUAAUAGUUGUGUAGAAAAGUGUGUAAUAAUAACUGACUAAGUGAAUAAAUAAUUAUUGCUUCUUAUAUAAGUAGAAAAUGCUUAGUCUUUUUUGUUGAUGUACCUCCGGGAAUUCAAUAAGGCGGAACUAAAUAUUUUUACUCUUGGUUAUAUAGUAGGUGGCCAAACAUUAAGCUAGUAGCAUUUCAUCAAACAUUUAAACAACCCUUGAUUUCAUGAAACUUUGAAAACUGUUUUGUCUUGUAACAUGUAAGAAAGCCUUUUUUUUUAAUUUCAAGUCUGCCAAAUGUUAGUAAGUAUUCUUGUUCUGUUUGAUCAAACCUAGUUAAAUGUUGUAGUUUUUUUUGUUUUUUUUUUUUCAAAAACAUCAUUGCAAGUUUUUCAGUCAAUUUUUAAAGUCUGUAAAAUGCCAUUACAUUUUUAAUUGUAGAAGACUAACUUAUACUGUACAUAUGUUAGAAAAAUUGUAGAUGUGUUAGAAUUAUAUUUAUAUAUCUGUAAAUUUGUUUUAAUGCUUUAGACUGUAAGAAUAUAAUUCUUCUUUCAUUUUGUCAAAUGUUCUCUGCUGUAACAUUUUGAAUGAAAACUUGUAUUUAAAUGCUUCAAUCUAUUGUCAGUAAAUCUUUUUUUCGGGCAUAUUAUGUUAUACCCCAUGGCAUCCUUCUGUCUGUCUGUCCGUCCGUCCGUUAGCAAUUUGGUUGCCGGAGCAUGACCUAAGUUCCAUUCAGCCCAAAAUAUUCAAACUUCAUAGGAUGAUUGUCCAUAUUGUUUAAAAGACCCCUAUUGAUUUUGGGGUCACAAGGUGAAGGUCACUAUUGCCUAACACUGAAAACAGUUUCCAGAGCAUACCUUAAGUUCCAUUUGGCCCACAAUAAACAAACUUCAUAGGAUGAUUGUCCAUACUAGGUAGAAGACCCCUAUUGAUUUUGAGGUCAAAGGUCACUAUGACUUUGACACUGAAAACAGUUUCCGAAGCAUAACUUAAGUUCCAUUUGGCCAACAAUAUUCAAACUUCAUAGGAUAAUUGUCCAUAUUGAAUUAAAGACCCCUAUUGAUUUUGGGGUCGCAAGGUCAAAGGUCAAGGUCACUAUUACCUAACACUGAAAACAGUUUCCGGAGCAUAACUUAAGUUCAAUUUGGCCCACAAUAUACAAACUUUAUAGGAUGAUUGUCCAUAUUGGGUAUAAGACCCCUAUUGAUUUUGAGGUCACCAGGUCAAAGGUCAAUGUCACUAUGACCUUGACACUGAAAACAUUUUCAGAGCAUAACUUAAGUUCCAUUUGGCCCACAAUAAACAAACUUCAUAGGAUGAUUGUCCAUAUUUGGUAGAAGACCCAUAUUGAUUUUGGGGUCAAAGGUCAAGGUCACUAUUAGCUUAACACUGAAAACAGUUUCCAGAGCAUAACUUAAGUUCCAUUUGGCCAACAAUAUUCAAACUUCAUAGGAUGAUUGUCAAUAUUGGGAAGAAGACCCCUAUUGAUUUUGGUGUCACAAGGUCAAAGGUCAAGGUCACUAUUACCUUGACACUGAAAUUUUUUUUCGGAGCAUAACUACAGUUCCAUUUGGCCCACAAUACUCAAACAUAUAGGAUGAUUGUUCAUAUUGAGUAGAAGACCCCUAUUGAUUUUUUGGUCACAAGAAAAGGUCAAGGUCACUAUUAUCUUAAAACUGAAAACAGUUUCCAGAGCUUAGCUUAUGUUCCUUUUUGGCCCACAAUGUUCAAACUUCAUAGGAUGAUUGUCCAUAUUGAGUAGAACACCCCUAUUGAUUUUGGGGUCACAAGGUCAAAAGUCAAGGUCACUAUUACCUUAAAACUGAAAACAGUUUCCAGAGCUUAACUUAUGUUCCUUUUGGCCCACAAUAUUCAAACUUCAUAGGAUGAUUGUCCAUAUUGAGUAGAACACCCCUAUUGAUUUUGGGGUCACAAGGUCAAAAGUCAAGGUCACUAUUAUCUUAAAACUGAAAACAGUUUCUGGAGCAUAACUAAAGUUCCAUUUCGCCCACAGUGUUCAAACUUCAUUGGAUGAUUGUCAGUAUUGUGUAGAAGACCCCUAAAAAUUUUGGGUCACAAGGUCAAGGUCACUGAAAAUGGUUUUCGCUCAAUAACUUGAGUAUUAAUCAACCUACAGCUUAUAUUGAUUACAUUAAUUAUAAAUAUAUGUCCUAAAAAAAUUUUGCUUAUAUCAUGUUAUAUCCCUGGCGUCUUUCUGUCCAUCUGUUUAAGUAAAACAUUUUAAUUCCCAUGUCUUACAAAUGCUUCAUCCUUACUAAAAAAAAAAACACGUUCGGGCAUAUAAUGCUCCAACUAGCGAUGCUCUUGUUUUAAUUUCCAAAAUGUUCGGUGCUGUAACAUUUUGAAUGAAAACUUGUAUUUAAUGGUUCUAUCGAUUGUCGGUAAAUCUUUUUUUUUAACUUGUUAAUUGUUUUACGUCCAAACAUUUUGAAUUAAAACACUGAUUUACAAUAAUUCAUUUCUUUUUGCCUUUGUUUCUAAUUUUGCGAAAGUGCUGAACAUUUUUUUUUUCAAAGUCAUUAAGUUUUUAUGAUUUUUAAAACUUAUUUGAAAUAAAGAAAGUAAUUUUUGAAAUUUUACAAAAUGUUCGGUGCCCUAAAUUUUCCAUUAGUGAAUUCUUUAAUGCUUAAAAAAGUCCCUUUUAUAUAUUUUGUACAUGGUAUAUUGUAGUUCUGUAAAUUGUUUGGUGCCCUAACUUUUUAAAUGAAAACUUGUAUUUAAACUUGCUUCAGUCUAUUGUUAGUAAAUCUUUGUUUUAAUUUGCAAAAUGUUCGGUGCCCUAACAUUUUUAGUAAAAGCAUUGAUUAAACAUUGAAGUCCAUCAUCAGUAAAUCUUUUUUUUUAAUUUGCAAAAUGUUCGGUGCCCUAACAUUUUGAAUGAAAACUUGUAUUUAAUGCUUCGGUCUAUUGUCAGUAAAUCUUUGUUUUAAUUUGGAAAUUGUUCGGUGCCCUAACAUUUUAAGUUAAAACAUUGAUGAAACACUUAAGUCUAUCGUCAGUAUAUCAUUUUUUAAUUUGUAAAUUGUUCGGUGCCCGAACAUUUUGAAUGAAAUCUUGUAUUUAAUGCUUCGGUCUUUUGUCAGUUAAUCUUUGUUUUAAUUUGGAAAUUGUUCGGUGCCCUUACAUUUUUAGUUAAAACAUUGAUUAAACACUUAAGCCCAUCGUCAGUAAAUCAUUUUUUAAUUUGUAAAUUGUUCGGUGCCCGAACAUUUUGAAUGAAAACUUGUAUUUAAUGCUUCGGUCUAUUGUCUGUAAAUCUUUGUUUUAAUUUGGAAAUUGUUCGGUGCCCUAACAUUUUUAGUUAAAACAUUGAUUAAACACUUAAGCCCAUCGUCAGUAAAUCUUUUUUUUAUUUUGGAAAUUGUUCGGUGCCCGAACAUUUUGAAUGAAAACUUGUAUUCAAUGCUUCGGUCUAUUGUCAGUUAAUCUUUGUUUUAAUUUGGAAAUUGUUCGGUGCCCUAACAUUUUUAGUUAAAACAUUGAUUUAACAAUUAAGUGUAUCGUCAGUAAAUAUUUUUUUAAUUUGUAAAUUGUUCGGUACCCGAACAUUUUGAAUGAAAACUUGUAUUUAAUGCUUCGGUCUAUUGUAAGUAAAUCUUUGUUUUAAUUUGGAAAUUGUUCGGUGCCCUAACAUUUUUAGUUAAAACAUUGAUUUAACACUUAAGUCUAUCGUCAGUAAAUAUUUUUUUAAUUUGUAAAUUGUUCGGUGCCCUAACAUUUUGAAUGAAAACUUGUAUUUAAUGUUUCGGUCUUUUGUCAGUUAAUCUUUGUUUUAAUUUGGAAAUUGUUCGGUGCCCUAACAUUUUUAGUUAAAACAUUGAUUAAACACUUAAGUCUAUCGUCAGUAAAUCAUUUUUUAAUUUGUAAAUUGUUCGGUGCCCGAACAUUUUGAAUGAAAACUUGUAUUUAAUGCUUCGGUCUAUUGUCAGUAAAUCUUUGUUUUAAUUUGGAAAUUGUUCGGUGCCCUAACAUUUUUAGUUAAAACAUUGAUUAAACACUUAAGUCUAUCGUCAGUAUAUCAUUUUUUAAUUUGUAAAUUGUUCGGUGCCCGAACAUUUUGAAUGAAAACUUGUAUUUAAUGCUUCGGUCUAUUGUCAUUAAAUCAUUGUUUUAAUUUGGAAAUUGUUCGGUGCCCUAACAUUUUUAGUUAAAACAUUGACUAAACACUUGCGUCCAUCUUUAGUAAAUCUUUUUUUAAUUUGCAAAAUGUUCGGUGCCCUAACAUUUUGAAUGAAAUCUUGUAUUUAAUGCUUCGGUUUAUUGUCAGUUAAUCUUUGUUUUAUUUUGGAAAUUGUUCGGUGCCCUAACAUUUUUAGUUAAAACUUUGAUUUGAUGAUUUAGUCUGGUCAAUGAAGUAAUUCAUUUAUUUUUCAUUUCACAAAAUGUUCGGGCACCGAACAUUAUGUUGUAGCAGAAUAAUUGUGGCCAAGAAGUGUUAGAUAUAUAAGAAGUUAAUUUAGAAAUGUGAAUUGUGUAUGUAAAUAUUUGAUCUGUUAAUAAAAAUGCUUUUGAUAUUUCAAUGAUUUUAAUAAAGAAUUGUCCAUUUAUAUAAA